RNAcentral lists this long non-coding RNA (9933 nucleotides) under Cicer arietinum (chickpea). RNAcentral's name for it is "long non-coding RNA (CARI_LNC000360)". Lineage: Eukaryota; Viridiplantae; Streptophyta; Magnoliopsida; Fabales; Fabaceae. The record is from RNAcentral.
GCAAAUAAUUAUAAAUAAACAUAUUAACCAUCCGAACUUCGAAGAGUUUUAUGUAAAGAUCUUCGGAUGCAAUCUGAACAACGACAUAACAUUUUUUUAUGUUGUUGAAACUAUUAUGUAAUUACAAUUAUGACUACAUCAUCGUAUUUGGUUGUAAUUCUCUGUAGUAUCAAGAAUCACGACUGUGACUGCUAUUUAAAACCCUAACUCAAAACUACGUAUAUGUUAUUAAUUGAAUAAAAUAGAAAUUAAAGUAAGUAAAUAAAAUGAGAGUAGACCUCCAACUCAAAUUCCAAGCAAGGAACCCAUCCCUUCCUUAGAAGGUAUUCAACUUCCUUUAGCAAUUGCUCUUCAGUCAAUGGUGGAAGGUAUGAGAGAGUCUCAAACUUCUUCUUGCCAAUUGGUGGCCACACCUAUAUAGUAGUAAUAUCAAAAGAUUAAGUCAAAGGGGUUAGCAAAAAAUAUGAAUUAAUAAUGUUAUUUAAAUAAUUAAAUCACCUUAUGGAUAAAAAUAUCUAAUAAUUUCAAGUUUUGUUUAAUGAAUAUUAAUUAAUAAUGUACAAAAUAUAACACAACCGUUCAAUCAUAUUUAACAAAUUAUUGAACAUUGCAAUUUUAUAAAAUUAUAUUUAUUAAAUAUUUGUUCUAUAUUGUCAUAAAUAUAUAUUUGUGUAUAAUAAUUUGAAAUUGAUGCAUAUAAUAUUAAUUCAAAGUUAGAAUUAUAAAAUUGUAAUUAAAUAUCACAUUGAAAAAACAAAAAGACACUUAUUUUAGAAUAUUUUUAUUUGUUUAAACACAAUUAUUUUAGAUCAAGAGUAUAUUUAUUGAAAUAUUUUAAAAAGUGACGUGAUAAAGUGGUAUCAUAAUUAAUCAUUGUUCUCAAGUAGAUGAGCGAGUUUUGAUAAAUAUUUCAAAAACCAUUUAUAGAAAUUAAUAUACUAAACUAUAGAAUUAUUUGAAUUGAAAAAGUUUAAUAUAGUAAACUAUAGAAGUUAAUUAUGUAUUACUAACUUGCAUGCAGUGUACUCUUCCACCAUUGCUUGCAAUGGAAGUGAUGUCAUUGUUGACCUUUCUAACUGGGAAACCAGCCAUGGAUUUGAGACCAACAAAUGGAGCCACCGCGCCGGAUGGCACCGAAGAGGCGCGUUUAACGGUGGUCACCGCCGAAGAGGAAAUCAUAGAGGAAGCCAUUGUUGUGUUUUCACUUUCUUAUAUAUUUCUAUAAAUUGAGUUGAAAAGCUUCUAUUGAAACUUGCUAUAUAUAAUGUUUUGAAAUUUAGUGAUGGUUAUAUUAUACCAAUGGUUUGGAUUGUGAAAAUGAUAAACAUUGGAACCAUAUUAACCACACGAGAUUGGAAAGUUUGUGUUACUAGCCUUAUCAUUAUGCACCAAUAGGAUAUUGACACGUGGAUCAUGUCCUACUAAUCUUAUCUUCUCAUGAGAACAACAUAAAUGUGUGAUGGUGGUCAUGUAAGUCGUUUUUAUAUUUUAUUUUAUUUUAUAUGAAUUGAAAUAAUGUCGUUUUUAUGUAUGUUGGUCUCUUGGAAUUUUGUGACUAUUAAUUAAUUCCUCAUGGUACCUUUUUUCAGGCUUUGGCUUCUCAUAGAGGUAAAAAUAAUAAAGGUUUUCAUUCAUAUAAAAGUAAUUGACUUAUGUACAAACUUGGGUAAACCAUAUAAUCAAGACUUCACACAUAAAAAUGGCUUAUUGGUAAACUUGGGUGAAUCAUAUAAUCAAGACCAAAAAUAUAAACUCCACCAACUAGACUAAUCUUAAGCAUGUGAUAGAACUUACUCUAGGAGAUGAUUAGGAAGAACCAAUUGCAUGGUGUGAUUUGUUUGAGAGUUUUAAGUUGGAUGUGAUAUUAUUUUAAAAAUAUUGAUAAAUAAAAGGUAUAUUUCAUAUAUAUGUAGCACUGACUUAAUAUGUGUAACACCCCAAAAUUUUCAUAUAUAUUAUAUGUGUAUCUUUUUAGUAAUUGCUAUUAUUAAAUUAAUAAUUAUUAUAUGUGUAAAUAAAUUAAAUUAAAUUUUAUCACACUCUAUUCUACCUAAAUAAUUAUAAUAUUCAUUUUUAUUUAAUUGUUUUGACGUGACAAUUACAUGGGGACUAUUUAUGAUGUCAUUAUUUCAUAAAUGGACAUUUUUAUUUGAUUAGUUUCGAUAAUCAUGAAAUUGAUGUGUUAGAUAUGUUUGUUUUAUUUUGUUAUGUGUGAGUGGUAUUCUUGUCUUGCUUGAUUUUAUUUUAGUUAAUAAAAUAUUAGUUGAAUUAUUUAAUUAAAUUAGAAUUUAUAUAAGUUAUAUUGUUUGUUAGUUUUAUUUGCAACCAAAUAAGUAUUCAUUUUAGGAGAUAUUAUAGAGUUAGUGAAACAAACGUAUAAGUGUUUUGAAAAUAUUUUUGGUCCAUCUUAUAAAAACAAAAAUUAGUUACUUGACUCAUUCUUUUACUCUCAUUUAUGACAAGAUUUUAUGACAAUUGUUUUCUUGGCAUAAUGUGCAUUAAUUCAUUUUAAACACCUUUAAUUUAUUUUUAAAGGAAGAUUAUAAAUUUAAUUAUAAGUUUUUUGUGCAAUCAAGAGAGGACACAAAAAGACUAUUGUCCUUUUUGUAUCUCAUGCAUUCAUCUCUUAAACUAAAAUUAUAAUUUUAUUAUAAUUGUCUACAAAAAUAAUUUUAUGAAAUUUUUGGUUCGUAACUAUUAGAUAAAAAAAUUAAAAGGGUGAUGUGACGAUCUCUAAUUUAUUUAUUUAAUUAAAAUUAGUGUGUGACACCCUUCAAUAUAUGGUGAACUCUAUUAGUUAAUCCAAAUUAACUCAUACAUAUAAAUACACAUAAUUUCAAUUGGCAUUGUAACAACCUAAUAAAAUUAAAGAAAUAGUAAUUAUUGAUAGUGUAAUGUUGGAAUUAAGUGCACUUCAAUUUUAGACAAGAAAUCAAUGGUAAUAGUGCAACGUAAAUAGCUUAUAUGUUCAUACGUUUCCAUUAGGCAUCUUGUUGUCACACCUAUUUGUCAUUCGUACACUCUCAAAAUAAUUUUCUGAGUCGUAAAUUCCAAUAUCUAUCGGUGUUGAAUUCAUUACUGCCUCGUGAGCUAUUUCUCGUGCAAAUUUAGAGGUGUUAAGAAAGAAAGCGCCUAAGGUAAGGGCUUUUCCCCAUGCAAUGUUAGGCUAGAUAUUAAAUUAAUAGUUUGUAAGAUAUUGAUAUAAAACUUGUUGUCUUAAAAGAGAAAUAUUGAUUUUUAAUUACCUUAAAAUAUUUAACUAUAAUAUUUUAUUUUUAUGAGUAAUAUGUUUGCUUUGAUAAACUUAAUUAUAAAUUUCGAUUUUUAUUAUUAUAACAUGACUAAUAUGUUUGAUGUCAUAUAUUUGAUGUAAAGUUAUUGUUUGUGUGUUGUUUAUGUGUACUUAAUUAUAAAACUAUGAUUUUUAUUAUGAUCUCAUGAAUAAUAUUUUUUUAGGAUGUCUUUAAUUUAAAGUUUCGAUUUUUGUGCUAUUUCAUUUCAAAGUUUUGAUUUUUAAGAAAUCUAUAUGAGUCUUGGGGGAAUUGGUGUAAAGUUUUAAUUUUAAUUAUGAUAACAUGAUUAAGUUGAUUUUUGUGAUGUGUUUAGCGGCAAACCUUGAUUUGUGUUUUAAUAAUAUUAUUUUUGUGGUUGCCUAAGUGGCUUGUGAUUUGUGUUUUGAAUAUUUUAUCUAUGUGGUUGUCUAAGUGGUUUGGUUGGUAGUUUGUAUUUUAAAUAUUUUUAUCUUUGUGGUUGCCAAAUUGGUUGGUGAUUUGCAUUUUAAAUAUUGUUAUCUUUGUGGUUGCCUAAGUGGCUAGUGAUUUGUGUUCUAAAUAUUAUCUUUGUGGUUGCCUAAGUGGCUGGUGAUUUGUGUUUUAAAUAUUGUUAUCUUUGUGGUUGCCUAAGUGGCUGGUGAAUUGGAUUUUAAAUAUUGUUAUCUUUGUGGUUGCAAGUGGCUGGUAAUAUUUAUGUGAUUAUCUAAUUGGGUGGUGAUAUGUAUCUUUGAGCAUCAUUAUCAUUUCAUGACAUAUCAUAUGCAUCUUUGUGGACGCCUGUGUGGCUGGUUUAAUUUUCCCCAUUGGUAUGGGUGACUUCUGUGUGGACGCCUGUGUGGCUGGUUAUAUCCGGAUCAUAUAUAUUUAGGAGCAUGCAUAACUUGCAUAUAUUCUAUUGUUAUUUUUAUUUUGAUCUAAUUAUUUGAUAUACNNNNNNNNNNNNNNNNNNNNNNNNNNNNNNNNNNNNNNNNNNNNNNNNNNNNNNNNNNNNNNNNNNNNNNNNNNNNNNNNNNNNNNNNNNNNNNNNNNNNNNNNNNNNNNNNNNNNNNNNNNNNNNNNNNNNNNNNNNNNNNNNNNNNNNNNNNNNNNNNNNNNNNNNNNNNNNNNNNNNNNNNNNNNNNNNNNNNNNNNNNNNNNNNNNNUUAAUUUUUCCCAUUGGUAUGGGUGACUUCUGUGUGGACGCCUGUGUGGCUGGUUAUAUCCGGAUCAUAUAUGUUUAGGAGCAUGCAUGACUUGCAUACAUUUUUAUGUUAUUUUAUUUUGAUCUAAUUAUUUGCUAUACGAUUGCUACUUGAUUUAUUUAGAUACAUUCUAUAACUUUUGAUACAUCUUUAAGAACUAUUAAAGAAUAAAUUUUUUUAAAAUCUUUUAUUACGAAAAGAUUUUAUAUUCAUAUUUUAUGGUUGUUAAUUUAUUAUUUGGUUUAGUUUUGUUGUGGGAUGAACUGACCCCUUACACCAACAUUUAGGUACGAAUGAUUUCAAAGAGUUGCAUGAAUGACGUUUGAUUGGUGCACACACAUGGGAAAAUUAUAUUUUACUUAAAAAUAAUAUUUUGUAUUACUAAAGUUUUGCGGCACAUUGUAAAGUUAUUUACUCUUCAUCAUUAACUUUUAAUAGAAAUGCAGUGAUAUUUCAUUAGCUAGAAAAAAAUUGAAUGUCAUUAAUUUCAGUCAACAUUGUUUCUUUUGAAUUUCACUUAAAGAGAAUUUAUUUUAUUUUGGACCAUAAAUGAAUAUUGAUCUAAUAAUUGGAAUAUUAAUUUUGCAAAUGAAUAAAUAAAUAAUAUUUUAGUAAAUUACAUUACGUUCUUUUAAUGAGAAAAAAAAAUUAAUUAGUUGUUUCUAAAAGAAAAUAAAUACUUUUCAGUAAUAUUCGUAUCAAAAAUUUGGGGCGUUACAUGUGGUAUCAGAGCACUAAUUCUCGGACCUUGUGGGGUGGAUGUGUUGUGUGUUGCAUGUAUUCCGAUGUUACUUGCGUUAUUUGUUCGAUUUUCUAUUUAUUGAAUUUUAUUAAUUACUUAAAUUUUAAUUAUAUGUUAUUAAUUUGGUGGCCACUUUGAAUUUGAAUUUUACUAAUGACUUAAAUUUCUAUUAUGAGUCAUUAAUUGUGUAACCUUCAAUUUGAAUUUUUAAGAAUUACUUAAAUUCUUAUUAUGUGUCAUUAAUUAUGUUAAUUGUUUGGUUCUCUAAUUAUUGAAUUUUACUUAAAUUUUUUUGUGUGAUUGUGUAACCUCCAUGAAUUUAUGUCAUUAAAAAUAUGACUUAAAUAUUUGGUUUAAUUGUGUUAUUUUAUUAUUUAUUUAGUUGUUUUCAUAUAUGAAAUCUCUAUGUCUAGUUGUAUGUUUCUUUAGCUUUGUCUUUUUAUAUUAUUUAGAAAUCUUCUAUUUAAUUUUGAUAGAUUUUACUAUCUUUUUAUGAGUUUUUUUCUUGUUUAUUAUGACUAUUUUGUUUUAAUAAUCUUAGACUCUCUACUUCUUGUUUAUGUUAAAUAUUUUGUGGUCUAGUUAUUACUUGACUUAAUUAGUUUUGUUAAUAAUAAUCAUUAAUAUUACAAAAUAAUUUAAUCUUCUACUUCAUACAAAUGAGUAUUAUUAUGUUAUAAAAUAUAAUACUAUAUAUAUUAUUGUUGUUAUCAUUGUCUCUUUUAUAUUAUUUUUAUGAAACUACAAAUUUUAGUUCACUUGAAUUGCAAAUAUUUUAAAAAGAAUAUCAUUUAAUUCGAUAUUAUUAUUAGUGUUAGUAAUAAAUUUUCCUUUUAACUUGCUUAGUUAAGAUAUUUUUAAUAUUGCAAAGGUAUUUAAUAAACAAAAUUAAUUUUGGUUUUAUUUCUUAAAUUAGAUUUUUUAAGACAAAUUUAAUGUAGUUACGUUUUUUUUUUGAAUUUAUAUACAUAUACAAUAUUUUUCUUUAUUUUAUGAAUGUUGUUUACACACUUUAAGAUGAAGAGUUAAGAUAGUAUAUUAUUGUAAUUAUUUUACCAUUAAUAUCAUUAUUAUUAUUUCUAUUAUUGUUAUUAUUUGUUAACAUUUAGAUUUUAACAAAUAAUACUCUUCAUUUAUUAAUUUCCUUUGUUUUACUGCUCAAGUUAUGUUGAGGUAUAAAUGUGAAAAGUGAGAAAGAACUUGAUGAAUCAUAGCUUGGGCGUCCCUAAGAUUUUGGUCCCUACUCCCUAUGCAAACCAAGGAAAUGUUGCCUUAAUAAAUCUAAAAAUUGCAUUUAUAGAUCUAAAUAUUGGAAUGGAGAAAUUCAGAUAAGAUUUCAUCUUCUUUCUUAAGAUUACAAUAUUACAUUCCUACCAUUAAGCUAACAUUCUAUGAUCAUUUUUUUUUUUUAAUUCUCCGAUGUCGUAGGAAUAAAACUUUAAUAAUUUAGGAUUUAGUUGAGACGUAAGUAAAAUUUAAUUAAAAAUUGUUUUAUUUAUAAUCCAAUUUUAGUUAUUUCAAAAGAUUUAUUUUUAACUGAAGUUCAUUGUUUGAUCUCAAACACUUGGUUUUUGUCUUUAUUGAUGCACACCUAUUAAUAAUAUGUUUAGAAUUCGUUUGAUGGACAAGAUAUAAAUAAGUUAUCAUAUUAUAUUUGAAUUGAGUGUUUGAUGAACCAACAUGAUAUGAUAUGAUAAGUCAACCCAUAACUCUAUCUUAUCAUGUAUCUUUAAUUGAAAUUUAUAUCAUAAAUAUGAGCUGAGUUAUAAACUAUCAGAAAAUGAUAAGAACAAUAAUUUACUUAAUUAUUCUUAUAAAAUAUAAAAUAUAAAAAUAAUUUAUAAAAUAUUUUAGAUAUGUAAAUCUAAUCAAAUAUAAAUAAAUAAAAAUACUUAAUAGAAUUUGAUCUUAAACUUAAAAAUGAAAUAUUAAUAAUUAAUUUAAAAAAUAUUUAUGAUUUUAUCACAAUGAUAACUUUGUCUUUUUAUAUAAUUUAAAUUAGCAUUCAAAAUUAUACAAAUACGAAGAUUAAUUAAAAUAUUAAAAUAAAAAUAAUUUUUUUACAAGGAUAUUUCUGCCAUUUACAUAUAAUAUAUAUCAUAUCUUUAUUUAUAUUAUAACAAAUAAAUAAAAUUAUUUAGUUACUCAUUAUUUAAAAAAAAAAUAUUCAAUUGUUUAUACAGUAGUGUUAGUGGAUUGUUUUAGAUAUAAUAUUAUUUCAUUACUUAUUUAAUUUGUUAUUAUUUUUUCGUUAAGUUAAUUUUUAACAAAACUAAUAUGUAAUUAUUCACAAUGAUAAUUUUGUUAUUUAAAUAUAAUAUAUACUAUAUUGAUGUGAUGUGUAUCAAAUACAUGAGAAAAUAAAACGUUAUCUUAUUAAUUAUUAUGUGUGUAUUAAACACUAGAUAUAAUAAUGUUUAUUCUGUCACACCUUAUUUUUCAUUUUUUGUACCCCUAAUCUUUACCAUAAAAUCUUUAUCUUAGGAUUAAAAAAUGGUAAGAAAAAAAAAAUAGUACCCCUUAAAAGUAGAUCAUGUCUGAUUGAACCACCUACACAUGUUCAAGACCACCAUUGGUAGGAAGUUAUUGAUCUUUACAGUUGUGUUGAUUAGGUGUGUUAAUUGAUUUGUGAUAUGUUUCUUUUCAACAUUAUUAAGAAUCUUGAAGAAUCAAUAGUGUCAUUCUCUACUUUUCUAGGAUUCAAAAAUUAAAUCUUGGACUUCAAUUGUUGCAAGAAUCAGGGAAUAUGCUGAUGCUGGUCAAAGCACACUUCAAUUGUUUGUUGCUCUUAGUGUAACAUCUCUUGAUUAGAAUCAUUUUCUUUUACUCUUUAAAAUAUUUCCACUUUAUUCAUGAAUAAAAUCAUCAAUUCAGAGUGCCUUACAUUGUUUAAGUCAAAAUUUUAUGCCUAAGAUUGUUAUCAGAUGGGAAGAAAUUAAAAUAUUAUUCAUGAUAAAAAAAAAAUGUAAAUAAAAAAACUUGGAAACUUUUUUCCUAUUAAUAUGUCAGUCAAUUUCGAUGUAUUUUGUUCGUUUAUAAAAAGUGAAAUUGAUGUGUUUUGGUGAUAUGAAUGUUCAAUUGAUGUUAGUUUAUGUCAAGUAGCUAAACCAAACAUAUUAUACUAAUCUUCGCAAGAGAUCAUUUAUUCUCAUAUUAAUUGUAUACACUCAAAUAUUUUUAUAUUUUCAAAAUAUGCUCAAAAAAAUUUCUUGUAAAGAUGAAAAAUAGUUAUGUGGAAGUAAGAUUUCUCUUUCCAUAAACGUUGCUAUCAAAAAGAGUCAAGUAUUUCCACAAGAUAAGAUGUCAUCUAUCAUAAAUUUUAUUAACUCAACCACUAAAUGAUCAACCAAAUAAGUAAUCCAUGUGCAUGACUACAAUUUUCAGCCAAUGAACAGAAUUUGACAAGCACUCUUGUAGUUCAAGAUAAAUUGUUUUAUUUUUGUGGUAAGAGAGAUUCAUCUACUCGAUUUUGUGUCAAAUUUCGAUUUGUUUUCCCUUUCAAAACUACAAAUGAUUUGAAAAUUAUAAAGGAAAGUUAAUAAAUGACUAAAACAAAAGGGCUAUGUUGGACUUUAAAGUUUGUUAAGUUAUAUAUACGAAUGUUUAGGUCGACAAUUGAAAAAUACACAUCCAAAAAGAAAACAAAGACAAUUUUUAUGUCCUUCCAAUGUGUAUUUUUAGACAAAAAAAAAAACAAUAUUUUUCCUCAUCUAGAUCUAGAUGUAUAUUUUCAAAAUCCUAUCCUUCUUUUUAGAAAUGUGUGGUAGAAAAAGUUGCUCUUAUAUAAAAAUAUUUGUUGCCAAGGAUAAAGAUAUGUCAAUUAGGUAAAGCUCAAUAGCUUCAUGGAAUAAGACUAUGAGGUUAGCAUGAAGAAUAAACACCUCAAAGAUUAAUUUGAAAACAUAGUUACUUGGUCAUAUAGUCUCAUCCUUGACUUCACAUUUAAGAAACAAACCUUAAUAUCAUAGUGUUGGUUCCUUUAUUAGUUAAAAUAUCAAGUUCAACAUAAUAACAAGGUAAACAACAGAAAAUUAUAGUACUUUGAGAAUGAAUAAAAGGACCAUUUCAUUUAUUAACUCUUAUCCAUCCAUUUGCAUUUGAAGUCCGAAAGUAAAAACCGAAAAAACAAAGGAAGACAUUCCUUUGAAGAAGAAAAGGAAAUUACAAGCAUAACAAAUGGGAGAAAAUAAAUGAUUCUUCCAAGAGAGUUAAUACUCAAACUUAGAACUCUUUAGGUGUGUGUGCAAUGAAACUGAUGCACUGCACUUGGCGAACGUUGUCGAAUCCGAUGAUGCGGACGAAAGCAUUAGGGUAAGCCUUGACAACUUCCUGAAGUUCCUUCAACACUUGAACAGCCUCAGUGCAACCAAACAAUGGAAGCUUCCACAUUGUCCAGUACCUUCCAUCAUAGUAUCCUGGUGAGUUGUUGUGCUCACGGUACACAAAUCCUUUCUGCAAAUAAGUACAAAUAAACAUAUUAACCAUCCUAACUUCGAAGAGUUUUAAGUAAAGAUCUUCAGAUGCAAUCUGAACAACGACAUAACAGUUUUUUAUGUUGUUGAAACUAUUAUGUAAUUACAAUUAUGACUACAUCAUCGUAUUUGGUUGUGAUUCUCUGUAGUAGUAUCAAGAAUCACUAUUGUGACUGUGACUGCUAUUUAAAACUCUGACUCAAAAUUACGUAUAUGUUAAUUGAAUAAAAUAGAAAUUAAAGUAAGUAAAUAAAAUGAGAGUAGAC